RNAcentral lists this ribosomal RNA (587 nucleotides) under Ischiodon aegyptius. RNAcentral's name for it is "eukaryotic LSU rRNA". The record is from RNAcentral. Lineage: Eukaryota; Metazoa; Arthropoda; Insecta; Diptera; Syrphidae.
AGUACGUGAAACUGCUUAGAGGUUAAACCCGAUGAACCUGAAUAUCCAUUAUGGAAAAUUCAUCACUAAUGAUAUAAUAUGUAAGAAAUAUUUUAAAAAUAGUGUGCAAUUUUUCCAUAUAAGGACAUUGUAAUCUGUUAAUGUGAUAAAUAUUUAUCAUAAGAUCCAUUACACUAAGUUUAUUCAAAUUGGUUAUUUUCGGAUAAUUAACAUAGAAUAAAUGUUUUGGAUUUGAUAAAUCAUUGACAGAUAUAAUUAUAUAAUGUGCUUAAAUUUUUCGGAAUUUUAUCAAUGGUAGUAAAUAUUUUAUUUUCUAUUUAAUUGAUAUGCACUAUUAUGAUUAACAAUGCGAGAGAUUCAGGAUACCUUCGGGACCCGUCUUGAAACACGGACCAAGGAGUCUAACAUAUGUGCAAGUCAUUGGGUAUUUUUAAUAAAACCCAAUGGCGUAAUUAACUUAACUGCUAAUUAAUGGGAUUAGUUUAUAUUUUGUUAUGAAUUAUUAAUUCAAUCCCGGGGCGUUCUAUAUAGUUAUGUAUAAUAAUAUUUAUAUUAUUUAUGCCUCUAACUUGAGCGUUACCUUGAGC